This 811-nucleotide ribosomal RNA is filed under the name uncultured bacterium. RNAcentral's name for it is "bacterial SSU rRNA". It matches the Rfam family "Bacterial small subunit ribosomal RNA", at positions 636 to 1447 of the family's 1533-position model. The record is from RNAcentral.
UNUGACUUGAGUGCAGAAGGGGAGAGUGGAAUUCCAUGUGUAGCGGUGAAAUGCGUAGAUAUAUGGAGGAACACCAGUGGCGAAAGCGGCUCUCUGGUCUGUCACUGACGCUGAGGCUCGAAAGCGUGGGUAGCGAACAGGAUUAGAUACCCUGGUAGUCCACGCCGUAAACGAUGAGUGCUAGGUGUUAGGCCCUUUCCGGGGCUUAGUGCCGGAGCUAACGCAAUAAGCACUCCGCCUGGGGAGUACGACCGCAAGGUUGAAACUCAAAGGAAUUGACGGGGGCCCGCACAAGCGGUGGAGCAUGUGGUUUAAUUCGAAGCAACGCAAGAACCUUACCAGGUCUUGACAUCCCGAUGCUAUUCUUAGAGAUAGGAAGUUACUUCGGUACAUCGGAGACAGGUGGUGCAUGGUUGUCGUCAGCUCGUGUCGUGAGAUGUUGGGUUAAGUCCCGCAACGAGCGCAACCCUUAUUGUUAGUUGCCAUCAUUAAGUUGGGCACUCUAGCGAGACUGCCGGUAAUAAACCGGAGGAAGGUGGGGAUGACGUCAAAUCAUCAUGCCCCUUAUGACCUGGGCUACACACGUGCUACAAUGGUCGGUACAACGAGUUGCGAGCCGGUGACGGCAAGCUAAUCUCUGAAAGCCGAUCUCAGUUCGGAUUGGAGGCUGCAACUCGCCUCCAUGAAGUCGGAAUCGCUAGUAAUCGCGGAUCAGCACGCCGCGGUGAAUACGUUCCCGGGCCUUGUACACACCGCCCGUCACACCACGAGAGUUUGUAACACCCGAAGUCGGUGAGGUAACCUUUUAGGG